AGGGCACCACCAGGAGUGGAGCCUGCGGCUUAAUUUGACUCAACACGGGGAAACUUACCCGGCCUGGACACUGGAAGGAUUGACAGAUUGAGAGCUCUUUCUUGAUUCAGUGGGUGGUGGUGCAUGGCCGUUCUUAGUUGGUGGAGCGAUUUGUCUGGUUAAUUCCGAUAACGAACGAGACUCUAGCCUAUUAAAUAGGCUCUCGGCUUUUAAACGCCGGGAGGACUUCUUAGAGGGACAGGUGGCGGUUCAGCCGCACGAAAGAGAGCAAUAACAGGUCUGUGAUGCCCUUUGUUGUCCGGGGCCGCACGCGCGCUACACUGAAGAGAUCAGCGUGCUUUACGUUCCUGCUCCGACCGGAGUGGGGAACCCAGUGAACCUUCUUCGUGAUUGGGAUAGAAGAUUGUAAUUAUUCUUCUUGAACGAGGAAUUCCCAGUAAAUGCGAGUCAUAAGCUCGCGUUGAUUACGUCCCUGCCCUUUGUACACACCGCCCGUCGCUACUACCGAUUGAACGAAUU
RNAcentral lists this ribosomal RNA (519 nucleotides) under uncultured eukaryote. Its description in RNAcentral is "SSU rRNA". It matches the Rfam family "Eukaryotic small subunit ribosomal RNA", at positions 1161 to 1699 of the family's 1831-position model. The record is from RNAcentral.